Lotus japonicus is the source of this 1169-nucleotide long non-coding RNA. RefSeq lists it as uncharacterized. Lineage: Eukaryota; Viridiplantae; Streptophyta; Magnoliopsida; Fabales; Fabaceae. The record is from RefSeq and is a predicted model, not a curated record. The transcript is spliced from 3 exons.
UAUCUCACCACUUGUUCUCCCACUUGCAAUUCACCACCAGCUUUCUUUUCUUAUUCAUUUUCUUUCUUUCUCCUUCAUUCACGUCCCUUAUUUUCUUUUCCUGCAACACUUCUUCUUUCUUUCAUUUUCUUUUGCUGAAGCAACCCAUAGGAUAUUUUGAAUUCAGAUAUUUUCUAUCUAUCCUCGUCACGUUCUUAUCUGCUUCUUCUCUAUCCUUUCCUUUACAUAUCUGAAUGAUUAUUAUCAUCACAUUUUGGCACAGCAUAAUCCCAAUCCCCUCACCUCUCGACCCAUUCUCUCUUCUCACCACCAACAUCACCAUUCUUCUUCGUUUUUGUCUCUUCUUGGCAGCAAGCAUCACCGUCAUCUUUCUUUCCCUUGGCAGUCCACGCACACCAUGUUUCUUCUUCUACAAAUCACGUUUUUCUUCUCCUUUCUUCUUCUUCAUUACUUUUCUUUUCUCCAUGGCUGGCCAAACGCACCACAACCCUCUGUCCUUCUUCCUCACGUAGCUCCCUUGGACAGCCACAGUAACCAUAAUCUCUAUGGACUUAUAUGGGUACGAAGGACGAGAGCGCCUUGCGACGAAGCUAAAGAAUAGAAGGAAGCGAGCCGACACAGAAAACAAAGAUGUGAUAGGAUUGGAGUUGCAGUUUAGGAAGAAAAUUGGCUAAGAUGCCGUUGAUGGAUUCUUUCGUGAUUCUUCGUCGUUCGGGGAAGACCCGGAGCGAAAUGACUACUACUGAGCCUUCGGCGUGGACCCGGACUUCAGGCAUGACCAGAUGAGAGUCGAUGAUGGAAGUAUAGGGGAUGGGUGUUUAGAGUCUACUAAGGUUGGGUGUUAGUGUCCUAGCUCUGACUCAUUCUUAUUUUGAGGGCUUGUGUUGCUGACACUUGACCUAUCCUUUUGGGAUUGUACAUUUUGCCUACGGGCGUUACACUUUUCUACUUUCCGUCACUGGAGGUUACUCGUGACGAGGUUGCUACUUACAACGGGGGCUGUAUUUAUGUUAUAUACUAGUUUUGUUAUCUUUUGUUGGGAGUUUAUUUCUUUCAGUCUUUGAUUCUAUUAUCAAAAAAAAAUAAUUCACGUUUUCCGCUUUAAGUUUCUUGUUGGUUACUAAAGUGACGCCACCGAAAUCGGGGUGUUACAAAAUUGAUUAAUAUGA